AACCGGGGGAACUGAAACAUCUAAGUACCCCGAGGAAAAGAAAUCAACCGAGAUUCCGAAAGUAGCGGCGAGCGAAAUUGGACUAGCCCUUAAGCUUUACACGCGUUAGACGAACGGUCUGGAAAGUCCGACGAUACAGGGUGAUAGUCCCGUAGUUGACGACGUGUGUUCAGUGAAAUCGAGUAGGGCGGGACACGUGAUAUCCUGUCUGAAUAUGGGGGGACCAUCCUCCAAGGCUAAAUACUACUGACUGACCGAUAGUGAACCAGUACCGUGAGGGAAAGGCGAAAAGAACCCCUGUGAGGGGAGUGAAAUAGAACCUGAAACCGUGUACGUACAAGCAGUAGGAGCAGGCUUUGUCCUGUGACUGCGUACCUUUUGUAUAAUGGGUCAGCGACUUAUAUUCAGUGGCAAGGUUAACCAUCUAGGGGAGCCGUAGGGAAACCGAGUCUUAACUGGGCGUUCAGUCUCUGGAUAUAGACCCGAAACCAGGUGAUCUAGCCAUGGGCAGGUUGAAGGUUGAGUAACAUCAACUGGAGGACCGAACCGACUAAUGUUGAAAAAUUAGCGGAUGACUUGUGGCUAGGGGUGAAAGGCCAAUCAAACCUGGAGAUAGCUGGUUCUCCCCGAAAGCUAUUUAGGUAGCGCCUCGGACGAAUACUACUGGGGGUAGAGCACUGUUAAGGCUAGGGGGUCAUCCCGACUUACCAACCCUUUGCAAACUCCGAAUACCAGUAAGUACUAUCCGGGAGACACACGGCGGGUGCUAACGUCCGUCGUGGAGAGGGAAACAACCCAGACCGCCAGCUAAGGUCCCAAAUUACUACUAAGUGGGAAACGAUGUGGGAAGGCUCAGACAGCCAGGAUGUUGGCUUAGAAGCAGCCAUCAUUUAAAGAAAGCGUAAUAGCUCACUGGUCGAGUCGGCCUGCGCGGAAGAUGUAACGGGGCUAAGUA
Molecule: ribosomal RNA, 955 nt
Filed under: Vibrio parahaemolyticus
Lineage: Bacteria; Pseudomonadati; Pseudomonadota; Gammaproteobacteria; Vibrionales; Vibrionaceae
Description: partial 23S ribosomal RNA
Rfam family: Bacterial large subunit ribosomal RNA
Source: RNAcentral